UCAUCUUUUUCUCUUUGACUCUGAUGCUCAUUCUGCACCAUGCUGCAUUAAAGGAAACAGAUUUCAUUCCUGCUCAACUGUAUGUCACACCAGGCUUUCACUGUUAAAACUACACAUUAUGUGUAGUAAGUCCUCCUUUGUGCUGAUUUAAAUCCCUGCUCAAUUUGUUUUCUGACUUGACUUUAUUGUACCUCGUGAAUUUGGAUGCAGUCACUGUUCCCUCUAAGCUGCGCGGGUGCGCAAUUGCGCACUGCUGACACGGUCUCCGCUCACAGAAAAUCUGCGCUGCGCACAAAAAAAAAAAAAAUUCAACCUAAAUUGUAAAUAAAAUAAACACGUAACAAUUCAUUCUGUGCUAUUUUUCAAUGUGAGUCAGUGAGUGACCGGUGACUGGCUGCUGCAGCCAAUGAUGCGAUUCACAUACGUAUUUACCAUAGACUGUAUAUAACGGUAUUUACGCAGCUAAUCAACGUCAAGCGUCCUUACGUGCAGCCACCGUUGUUCUCAUAGAUAUGAAUGAGUAGAUAGGACACGCCCCUUUGAGCUGCGGCUACAGCGAGGCUAAGCUAGUGGGGGCAAAGUUUCAGUGCAUUCCGUUGAUGUAGACGGCGUGAAAAUGGAAACAAGAAGUAUGCCGGCUCACUAUGCUGCAUACAAUUACACACUACGUCGUACGAUUGAGACAAGGAAACUUGGAAUGACUUUUCAUAGGUUUCCCAGAGACUAUGGGUUGAGGAGGAAUUGGAAGUCUGUCGGCUUAGACCUGGUGUCAUUCCAUCAGUGUUAAACUUCCCGGCUCAUCUUGGAAGAGUACGUGCCAGAAAGACCACGACCAAGUAGCCUUGAGAUCUUAGACAGCGUCUCCCUCAGACCAAAGAACUACAGACUCUUCACAACCUGCUCAAACUCUUGGUACAGGACCUCACCACACGGGUCAAGAAGGUUUCCAUCUCAUUUCUACUCUGAAGCUCACCUUCUCCUGCUCAAACUGCUGACAAAUGUUUCUGCUGCUCUAAAGUCUGGUCUCCAGAACUUCCUAAAAAACUCAAAGUCUCUUCUGCUGCAGGUUGCUUUGUAGAACUGUUCCAGAAAACCUCACUAAACCACAUGGAGGGGCCUCAAGAUAGUCGUCCAAAUGAAACCAUACAAAAACCAAACUAGCACAACCCAAAGGCUAAAGUCUCCUGCAGCCUACCAGAGAACCUCUGAGAACAGAGAAUCAGGACAGGAACUCUUACCUUCUGGACAACCAACCUUGGUUCACAAACAAGUAUACAGAAUGUGUCUGACCAGAAACCUCUAGAGACUCACUACAUCCAAGAUAAAGACACAACUCAGCUGGACCAAAUCCACUAAUCACUGCACACAUUAACACCAUGUGCUAACUGUGGCUAAAGAACCACAUUUACCAAGACAACUAUCCAGUACAAAGCCCUAAAACACACCAAGAAACACAUUAAAGACGAUUUUACUGCUGGAAGCUGCAAGCCAACGCCUAAAGAACAAACUAAAUCAACGAAGCCAAACCCGAUUCUGUGGUGAAGAGAAGCAGAGGAAAUGUUUGUCUGCAGCUAAAUAAAGCAGGAAGACACUGAGCUGCUCAGGUGUUCCUGAUAACACCAAGCAGCCACCUGGACAGCCAAUAGGAACACAGCUUCCUGGAAGUCCAGAGGGCUGGGUUAGUGAAGGAAAUUUAGUUUAAAGUUGAAGCAGAAAGUUAAUAAAGAAAGUUGAAAACCA
Molecule: long non-coding RNA, 1740 nt
Organism: Amphiprion ocellaris (clown anemonefish)
Lineage: Eukaryota; Metazoa; Chordata; Actinopteri; Pomacentridae
Exons: 3
Source: RefSeq, a predicted model, not a curated record